This 253-nucleotide ribosomal RNA is filed under the name uncultured bacterium. RNAcentral describes it as "partial 16S ribosomal RNA". It matches the Rfam family "Bacterial small subunit ribosomal RNA", at positions 524 to 776 of the family's 1533-position model. The record is from RNAcentral.
UACAGAGGGUGCGAACGUUGCUCGGAAUUACUGGGCGUAAAGGGCUCGUAGGCGGCCAACUAAGUCGGAUGUGAAAUCCCCAGGCUCAACCUGGGAACUGCAUCCGAUACUGGAUGGCUUGAGUCCGGGAGAGGGAUGCAGAAUUCCAGGUGUAGCGGUGAAAUGCGUAGAUAUCUGGAGGAAUACCGGUGGCGAAGGCGGCAUCCUGGACCAGCAUUGACGCUGAGGAGCGAAAGCUAGGGGAGCAAACGGG